CUUCACAUGCUCACACUCUUUGGCCUGCCGCCUUGUAAGAAGUAACUGCUUCCCCUUCUGCUAGGAUUGUAAGUUUCCUCCGUCCUCCACAGCCAUGUGGAAUGUGAGUCAAUUAAAUUUCUUUGCUUUAUAAAUUGCCCAACCUAAAAUAUUUCUCUAUAGCAGUGUGAAAAUGGAAUACUGCACUUCUGAUAUCACACUUGAGGAAUUGGGGAAUUCAUACUACCUGAGAUCAAAUAAUGGCCUCAGGCUGGGCAGUCAUGUGACCUUGGGGAGAUAACUUACCUUCUCCAUCUUAGUGUCUUCUCUAAAACUGGUGAGAUUGUUUCUGAGGGCUAAAGCAUAGCCCACUUGGAACACUGUCAGGCACAUACUGCUUGCUAGGGUUCAGUAUUCAUUUUUUUUUAACAUGUUCUAAUCCAAUCAAAGAAACUAAGAACCUUGCAGUAUUCAUUUUAUUGAGUUAGCACUGUGGUAACCCCCUUAUGGCUCUUGAUUUUGUGUAACAAAGUCAUGCUUAGUGCUUUGUUAGUAAAAGAGAGAAAAUCUAAAAGUCCCUGCCAUGGAAGGAAGAAGAACAGGAGAAAAGGAAGUUGGUAAGUUUCAGUACUUUAGAGCUUGGGGGGACAAGUUAGGUUUCUAUUAAUGGAGAAGGAGGUGGAGGCAGGAUGGAUUAUAAGGUGUCAUUCAAGACACCAUAAGUCUUUAGUGAGAGUAGAGCUAGGGCCCCAGGGAUUGCUGUGGACAAGUUGCAGACAAAAACUAUCACUCAUUGGAAGACAGGAGAGGAAUAUUUCAGGUGUAUCUACAUUGAGUCAACAAAUAAAAGUUCAACUUGGUUGCUAAUGGGACCCACUCUGCUAACUGCCACUUUGUAUAGAACUCCUAGAGGAAGAUGGCUUCCAGUAAUGAACCACCUGUUUUUAGGACUAAAAAGCUCAGGAAGCUGUCGGGUGAUAAAUGGAAAACUUAGUUCCACUGGCACUGAAGGAGGGGCCAGGAGAGCAGUGGCAUCAUAAGCCACAGGGUGGGGCAGCCGGGCAGUGGGGGAGGGGUGGCAGCCAGGGUGGGCAUUGUGAGGUGUGGGGUGGGGCAAUGUGAGUCACGUGCUGGGAUUCCACUGUGGCCAGUGGGCUUCAGUCUGUAGGUGACUGCAGAGGGAGGAGUACCUCCUUUUGAACUCUCUUCCAGCAGUUGUAUCACUUGGCGCUGUGUGGGUUCCCAACCUAUUAAAUAGCAGCUGUUUGUGACCCUCCCAGACAAGUCAACUUAGGAGAGGCGCGGGGGUGCGGGCCUUGGGCCGGCCCUAGCCGGGGCGUGGUGUGGGCAGGUGAGCAGCGGCAAGGCCAUCUCUGAAAGUGCGGCACAGCCUCGGCCUAGGGCAGCAGAGUGUCCUGACCAACACUGAGUGGAGGCACAGGUGGCGGCAGACAGGAGUAAGGUGCCCCAUGGGGAACAAACUGUGCUGCUGUGUGUGCCCAUUUCGGACGAUGAUGAGGUGUCAGGGUGUCCUCCAGAGUGUAAAAUCUGUGAAGCAACAGCUGAGGACGCGACAGCAGCAGCGCCCACGGCUGCUGCCAUAGAACCUACCGAGUUGACUGUUGAAGCUGGUGAGGACCUUCCUGUGCAUGACAUCUUGAUGGGGAGAUGCCCGAAGAUAGGGCUUUGGAGUCCGACUAUUCUGAUCAUCCAAAAAUAAAGAAAAUCUCAAGCAGUUGAUAGAGCUUUGGAGUCCGACCCUUCAGAUCAUCCAGAAGGAAAGAAAUAUCCAGCAGAUGAUAGAGCUUUGGAGUCCGACCCUUCUGAUCAUCCAGAGGGAAAGAAGUAUCCAGCAGAUGAUAGCGUUUUGGAGUCCGACCGUUCUGAUCAUUCAGAAACAAAGAAAUCUCAAGCAGUUGGUGAGCCAACAGUGUGUUUUCCACCAGGAAAAGAGUGAAAACUUUUGUUUUAUGAGGUGUAUUAUAGAAAGAGUUUAGCAGAACUCAUAUUGGUUUAAAUUUUUAAAAUAUUCACGUAUUCACUUGUGUUAUGUUAACAUGUGAUAUACUUUGCUUGUUAUCGUGUUAGUGAAAACGUCA
Molecule: non-coding RNA, 2078 nt
Organism: Callithrix jacchus (white-tufted-ear marmoset)
Lineage: Eukaryota; Metazoa; Chordata; Mammalia; Primates; Cebidae
Source: RefSeq, a predicted model, not a curated record